AUCAUUGGCGGACGCACGAGGGGGGCUGGGGUGGCUGCAGCCCCCCUCUUGAGUUUAACAGGGUUUUCUUUUUAGCAAAAAACUUCAUGUAUUUAUUAUUUUUCUAUACUUAUUUUAUGAAUCGCCUUUGAACACUUUGAAUUAAUAUUGAAUUAUCAAUCUUAGCUAUAUCUAUUGGCCUUGUUUGGUUCCCAAAAUAUUUUGCAAAAUUUCUCAGAUUUCUCAUCACAUUGAAUCUUGCGGCACA
RNAcentral lists this long non-coding RNA (247 nucleotides) under Sorghum bicolor (sorghum). RNAcentral's name for it is "long non-coding RNA (SBIC_LNC009599)". The record is from RNAcentral. Lineage: Eukaryota; Viridiplantae; Streptophyta; Magnoliopsida; Poales; Poaceae.